Molecule: ribosomal RNA, 254 nt
Filed under: uncultured bacterium
Lineage: Bacteria
Description: partial 16S ribosomal RNA
Rfam family: Bacterial small subunit ribosomal RNA
Source: RNAcentral
UACGGGGGGAGCAAGCGUUGUUCGGAUUUACUGGGCGUAAAGGGCGCGUAGGCGGUCGUGACAAGUCACUUGUGAAAUCUCCGGGCUUAACUCGGAACGGUCAAGUGAUACUGUCGUGCUAGAGUACAGAAGGGGCAACUGGAAUUCUCGGUGUAGCGGUGAAAUGCGCAGAUAUCGAGAGGAACACCUGCGGCGAAGGCGGGUUGCUGGGCUGAUACUGACGCUGAGGCGCGAAAGCCAGGGGAGCGAACGGG